AGCGAACGCUGGCGGCAGGCCUAAUACAUGCAAGUCGAGCGCACCUUCGGGUGAGCGGCGGACGGGUGAGUAACGCGUGGGAACGUGCGCUUUGGUACGGGAUAACUCAGGGAAACUUGAGCUAAUACCGUAUGUGUCCCUCGGGGGAAAGAUUUAUCGCCAUUGGAGCGGCCCGCGUUGGAUUAGCUAGUUGGUGGGGUAAAGGCCUACCAAGGCUACGAUCCAUAGCUGGUCUGAGAGGAUGAUCAGCCACACUGGGACUGAGACACGGCCCAGACUCCUACGGGAGGCAGCAGUAGGGAAUCUUGCGCAAUGGGCGAAAGCCUGACGCAGCCAUGCCGCGUGAAUGAUGAAGGUCUUAGGAUUGUAAAAUUCUUUCACCGGGGAAGAUAAUGACGGUACCCGGAGAAGAAGCCCCGGCUAACUUCGUGCCAGCCGCCGCGGUAA
RNAcentral lists this ribosomal RNA (447 nucleotides) under uncultured bacterium. RNAcentral describes it as "partial 16S ribosomal RNA". It matches the Rfam family "Bacterial small subunit ribosomal RNA", at positions 29 to 523 of the family's 1533-position model. The record is from RNAcentral.